AACGGUAACAGGAAGCAGCUUGCUGCUUCGCUGACGAGUGGCGGACGGGUGAGUAAUGUCUGGGAAACUGCCUGAUGGAGGGGGAUAACUACUGGAAACGGUAGCUAAUACCGCAUAACGUCGCAAGACCAAAGAGGGGGACCUUCGGGCCUCUUGCCAUCGGAUGUGCCCAGAUGGGAUUAGCUAGUAGGUGGGGUAACGGCUCACCUAGGCGACGAUCCCUAGCUGGUCUGAGAGGAUGACCAGCCACACUGGAACUGAGACACGGUCCAGACUCCUACGGGAGGCAGCAGUGGGGAAUAUUGCACAAUGGGCGCAAGCCUGAUGCAGCCAUGCCGCGUGUAUGAAGAAGGCCUUCGGGUUGUAAAGUACUUUCAGCGGGGAGGAAGGCGAUAAGGUUAAUAACCUUGUCGAUUGACGUUACCCGCAGAAGAAGCACCGGCUAACUCCGUGCCAGCAGCCGCGGUAAUACGGAGGGUGCAAGCGUUAAUCGGAAUUACUGGGCGUAAAGCGCACGCAGGCGGUCUGUCAAGUCGGAUGUGAAAUCCCCGGGCUCAACCUGGGAACUGCAUUCGAAACUGGCAGGCUAGAGUCUUGUAGAGGGGGGUGGAAUUCCAGGUGUAGCGGUGAAAUGCGUAGAGAUCUGGAGGAAUACCGGUGGCGAAGGCGGCCCCCUGGACAAAGACUGACGCUCAGGUGCGAAAGCGUGGGGAGCAAACAGGAUUAGAUAUCCCUGGUAGUCCACGCCGUAAACGAUGUCGACUUGGAGGUUGUGCCCUUGAGGCGUGGCUUCCGGAGCUAACGCG
This 806-nucleotide ribosomal RNA is filed under the name uncultured Enterobacter sp. RNAcentral's name for it is "bacterial SSU rRNA". It matches the Rfam family "Bacterial small subunit ribosomal RNA", at positions 65 to 859 of the family's 1533-position model. Lineage: Bacteria; Pseudomonadati; Pseudomonadota; Gammaproteobacteria; Enterobacterales; Enterobacteriaceae. The record is from RNAcentral.